ACUAGAUCUACACAGCAUGUGCGCUGUCUGCUCAGCCCCGCAGAGAGCGAGUUAACCCCAUCCAGCUGAGUGCACGUCGGUGAAAGUGCUCCGACACGUCGUGCUCGAACGGAACCAUUGAAUUCAAACCGUGAACUGGAGUCAGAAAAGGUCCGGGGGGGGGCACUUGUGUUUCUGCAGGUUGCCUGUCAGCUGCUUACCUGGGAGCCGGUGAUCCACCCAGGAGUUGGCGAGACGUUGUUAACUCAAGCAGUCCCCUGAGAGAUGCAUCCUGAGUCAGACACAUCUUUGGCAGUCACUCAUUCACUCACUCAAAGACAAAUCAACACUCAUGCUAAGCUGGCUUCAGUUUAGAGACUACUGGACAAAUCUGCAGGACAAAGGAGGUUUUGAAUUAUACACAUUUUUACUGCAGAGACAGGCAGCUGUUGGUGGGUACAGGCCACGAUACAGAGACAUGAAAAGACUGUAGGCAUCCAGCCAAAGUGAUGGAUUUUAUAGAGGGUGGAAACAAUAAAAGGCUUACAGUUC
This is a long non-coding RNA of Dicentrarchus labrax (European seabass), 531 nucleotides long. RefSeq lists it as uncharacterized. The record is from RefSeq and is a predicted model, not a curated record. The transcript has 3 exons. NCBI's taxonomy places the organism in Eukaryota, Metazoa, Chordata, Actinopteri, Moronidae.